UCCGGCUUAUCACCGGCAGUCCCCCUAGAGUGCCCAACUAAAUGAUGGCAACUAAAGGCGAGGGUUGCGCUCGUUGCGGGACUUAACCCAACAUCUCACGACACGAGCUGACGACAGCCAUGCGGCACCUGUGUAGGCUGGUAUUGCUACCUCGUUAGACUUUCAUCCUUCUACUACCUACAUUUCAAGGCCAGGUAAGGUUCUUCGCGUUUCAUCGAAUUAAGCCACAUACUCCACCGCUUGUGCAGGCCCCCGUCAAUUUCUUUGAGUUUUAAUCUUGCGACCGUACUUCCCAGGCGGCACAUUUAGCGCGUUAGCUUCGCCACAAAAGGGGUCGAUUCCUCUUACAGCAAAUGUGCACCGUUUACGGCUAGGACUAC
Molecule: unclassified non-coding RNA, 380 nt
Filed under: uncultured Verrucomicrobiae bacterium
Lineage: Bacteria; Pseudomonadati; Verrucomicrobiota; Verrucomicrobiia
Description: contains 16S-23S intergenic spacer region
Source: RNAcentral